GACGAACGCUGGCGGCGUGCCUAAUACAUGCGAGUAGAACGCACAGUUUAUACCGUAGCUUGCUACACCAUAAACUGUGAGUUGCGAACGGGUGAGUAACGCGUAGGUAACCUGCCUGGUAGCGGGGGAUAACUAUUGGAAACGAUAGCUAAUACCGCAUAAUAUUGAUUAUUGCAUGAUAAUUGAUUGAAAGAUGCUAUUGCAUCACUACCAGAUGGACCCGCGUUGUAUUAGCUAGUAGGUGAGGUAACGGCUCACCUAGGCGACGAUACAUAGCCGACCUGAGAGGGUGAUCGGCCACACUGGGACUGAGACACGGCCCAGACUCCUACGGGAGGCAGCAGUAGGGUAUCUUCGGCAAUGGACGAAAGUCUGACCGAGCAACGCCGCGUGAGUGAAGAAGGUUUUCGGAUCGUAAAGCUCUGUUGUAAGAGAAGAACGGGUGUGAGAGUGGAAAGUUCACACUGUGACGGUAUCUUACCAGAAAGGGACGGCUAACUACGUG
This 505-nucleotide ribosomal RNA is filed under the name uncultured bacterium. RNAcentral describes it as "partial 16S ribosomal RNA". It matches the Rfam family "Bacterial small subunit ribosomal RNA", at positions 28 to 507 of the family's 1533-position model. The record is from RNAcentral.